Molecule: ribosomal RNA, 253 nt
Filed under: uncultured bacterium
Lineage: Bacteria
Description: partial 16S ribosomal RNA
Rfam family: Bacterial small subunit ribosomal RNA
Source: RNAcentral
UACAGAGGGUGCGAGCGUUAAUCGGAAUUACUGGGCGUAAAGCGCACGUAGGCGGCUUGGUACGUCGGGUGUGAAAUCCCCGGGCUCAACCUGGGAACUGCAUCCGAAACUGCCUUGCUAGAGUAUGGGAGAGGGAAGUGGAAUUUCCGGUGUAGCGGUGAAAUGCGUAGAUAUCGGAAGGAACAUCAGUGGCGAAGGCGACUUCCUGGACCAAUACUGACGCUCAGGUGCGAAAGCGUGGGGAGCAAACAGG